Molecule: ribosomal RNA, 226 nt
Filed under: uncultured bacterium
Lineage: Bacteria
Description: partial 16S ribosomal RNA
Rfam family: Bacterial small subunit ribosomal RNA
Source: RNAcentral
GACGAACGCUGGCGGCGUGCUUAACACAUGCAAGUCGAGCGGUAAGGCCCUUUCGGGGGUACACGAGCGGCGAACGGGUGAGUAACACGUGGGUGACCUGCCCUCAGCUCUGGGAUAAGCCUGGGAAACCGGGUCUAAUAACUGGAUAUGACUCCAUGACGCAUGUUGUGGGGUGGAAAGCCUUGUGCGGACUGAGGAUGGGCCCGCGGCCUAUCAGCUUGUUGGU